This 21-nucleotide non-coding RNA is filed under the name Caenorhabditis elegans. The record is from RNAcentral. Lineage: Eukaryota; Metazoa; Nematoda; Chromadorea; Rhabditida; Rhabditidae.
UGUGACAAAAUAGGCCAACUA